AGAUUGAACGCUGGCGGCAUGCCUUACACAUGCAAGUCGAACGGCAGCACGGGAGCAAUCCUGGUGGCGAGUGGCGAACGGGUGAGUAAUACAUCGGAACGUGCCCAAUCGUGGGGGAUAACGCAGCGAAAGCUGUGCUAAUACCGCAUAAGAUCUACGGAUGAAAGCAGGGGAUCGCAAGACCUUGCGCGAAUGGAGCGGCCGAUGGCAGAUUAGGUUGUUGGUGAGGUAAAAGCUCACCAAGCCGACGAUCUGUAGCUGGUUUGAGAGAACGACCAGCCACACUGGACUGAGACACGGCCCAGACUCCUACGGAGCAGCAGGUGGGGAACUUUUGGACAAGUGGGACGAAAGCCUGACUCCAGCAA
This 368-nucleotide ribosomal RNA is filed under the name uncultured soil bacterium. RNAcentral's name for it is "bacterial SSU rRNA". It matches the Rfam family "Bacterial small subunit ribosomal RNA", at positions 26 to 394 of the family's 1533-position model. The record is from RNAcentral.